This is a long non-coding RNA of Perca flavescens (yellow perch), 1372 nucleotides long. RefSeq lists it as uncharacterized. The transcript is spliced from 4 exons. The record is from RefSeq and is a predicted model, not a curated record. Lineage: Eukaryota; Metazoa; Chordata; Actinopteri; Perciformes; Percidae.
CUGCUACAGCUCUGAUUUUCCUGACAGCUGUCUAAACAGUAAGAAGUGAAAUGAUACAAAUUUUUACUCGUUUAGGCAGCAGGUGGAGGAUCAGAUGUGGACCACAAAAGCGUUAAUUUCAGAGGUCUGCCGUUAUUGUGAGGAUGCAGCCAUAGGACAUGGUCCUUUUAACAAGGACAGGACAGGAGGAUGUCACGGCUGCAUCCAGACUUUUGAUAUGAUACGCUGACAGCCGGGUGAAUGAAAGCAACAGGAUGAAAAGUCUAGUUUCUCGAGCACGGAGGGCACGUACACCAGGCUGAGCUCGCUGCCGAAGUCGCAGAUGAUGGCGGCGUUGUCAAGCACCAGCAGCUGCCGGACGCCCUGUCCGUCGCUGCUCUGGCCCAGGUAGACCGUCUGCAGCAAGUCACCGAAGUUCAGGUCCCAAAACGAGACGCAGCCCUGGCCCCCCGUUACCAGGAGAGACUCGGAGAUCACUCCCAGACUGGCACCACAACCCACCUCCUGGUGAGGAGAGAGGGUUAAGGUUGACUCACCAGAUACAGAUGAGGUCAUCCAGUCCCGAGCUAAUGACACAAGAGGUGGUGCAGACCAGCGAGGUGACGUCUCCACGGUGACCGUAAACAUGGCUGACACGACUCCCUGUCAGGACGUCCCACAGGCAGAUGGCACCGUCCUGCCCACCGCUCGCCAGAACCAUCGUCUGAGGAGACCGAGACACAGCAGGACCUGUUUGCUUCCAGGACCCUGAGGCAGGCAGGAAAGAUUGUGACCAAUCCCUCUUACCCCGGACACAAACUGUUUGAACUCUUCCUCUCUGGCAGGAGCCUGCCGUCCAUCAUGAACAGUUUCUUCCCGACUGCAGCUGGCCUCAUCAACAAGGUCGGGAGGCCCACUGACAUGGCCUCUUAUCCCCCUCCUCAUAGACAUCUGUCUUUAUGCGUUACAUUAACGCACAUCUUGGACUAUUAUCUAUAAAUCCCCUGUUAACAUAUUUUUGCACAUCCUGCAAUGCUUUCCAGUUUGAAGACUUUAGUUAUAUUCUCACAUAUUUGGUUAUAGUAUUUCUAUUCUGAAUUUAUUUUCUUGACCAUUGCCAUUCUUAGCUACAUUUUUUUGUUUUGUUUAUUGUAUACACCAAACACCAAGGAAUUUGCCUUGUAUGUGAAAACCUACUUGGCAAUAAACCCCAUUCUGAUUGUGUAUGUAUUGUUCUUGUAUUAAGUGUUCUUGUACUUGGCACGUUCAUUUAAACAUUGUAAAAUCUGUCUGUCUGUUACCGAUUGCUGUGUAUUGUUCCAAACAUGUCUCUCUGGAGAAUGAGACCUGUGUGCCAAUGACAUUUCCUGUAUAAUUAAAAGGUUUAAUUUUG